RNAcentral lists this ribosomal RNA (253 nucleotides) under uncultured bacterium. Its description in RNAcentral is "partial 16S ribosomal RNA". It matches the Rfam family "Bacterial small subunit ribosomal RNA", at positions 524 to 776 of the family's 1533-position model. The record is from RNAcentral.
UACAGAGGUGGCAAGCGUUGUUCGGAAUUACUGGGCGUAAAGGGCGCGUAGGCGGUUGCCUAAGUCGGACGUGAAAUCCCCAAGCUUAACUUGGGAACUGCAUCCGAUACUGGGUAACUUGAGUUCGGGAGAGGAAUGUGGAAUUCCAGGUGUAGCGGUGAAAUGCGUAGAUAUCUGGAGGAACACCGGUGGCGAAGGCGGCAUUCUGGACCGAAACUGACGCUGAGGCGCGAAAGCCAGGGGAGCAAACGGG